This 71-nucleotide microRNA precursor is filed under the name Tursiops truncatus (common bottlenose dolphin). RNAcentral describes it as "miRNA (ENSTTRG00000024566.1)". The record is from RNAcentral. Lineage: Eukaryota; Metazoa; Chordata; Mammalia; Artiodactyla; Delphinidae.
UUGGCCAAAAAGUUCAUUCGUGUUUUUUCCAUAAGAUCUUACAGAAAAACCCAAACAAACUUUUUGGCCAA